GACGAACGCUGGCGGCGUGCCUAAUACAUGCAAGUCGAACGCUUCUUUCCUCCCGAGUGCUUGCACUCAAUUGGAAAGAGGAGUGGCGGACGGGUGAGUAACACGUGGGUAACCUACCCAUCAGAGGGGGAUAACACUUGGAAACAGGUGCUAGUACCGCAUAACAGUUUAUGCCGCAUGGCAUAAGAGUGAAAGGCGCUUUCGGGUGUCGUUGAUGGAUGGACCCGCGGUGCAUUAGCUAGUUGGUGAGGUAACGGCUCACCAGGGCCACGAUGCAUAGCCGACCUGAGAGGGUGAUCGGCCACACUGGGACUGAGACACGGCCCAGACUCCUACGGGAGGCAGCAGUAGGGAAUCUUCGGCAAUGGACGAAAGUCUGACCGAGCAACGCCGCGUGAGUGAAGAAGGUUUUCGGAUCGUAAAACUCUGUUGUUAGAGAAGAACAAGGACGUUAGUAACUGAACGUCCCCUGACGGUAUCUAACCAGAAAGCCACGGCUAACUACGUG
Molecule: ribosomal RNA, 508 nt
Filed under: uncultured bacterium
Lineage: Bacteria
Description: partial 16S ribosomal RNA
Rfam family: Bacterial small subunit ribosomal RNA
Source: RNAcentral